ACUCAAAUGAAUAGACGGGGGCCCGCACAAGCGGCGGAGCAUGUGGCUUAAUUCGACGCGACGCGAAGAACCUUACCAGGGCUUGACAUGCGGGGUGAAGCCUGCGAAAGCAGGUCCUCCUUCGGGAGCCCGCACAGGUGUUGCAUGGCCGUCGUCAGCUCGUGCCGUGAGGUGUUGCCUUAAGUGGCGCAACGAGCGCAACCCCUGUCCCAUGUUGCCAGCGGAUGAUGCCGGGGACUCAUGGGAGACUGCCGGUGCCAAACCGGAGGAAGGUGGGGAUGACGUCAGGUCAUCAUGACCCUUACGUCCUGGGCUGCACACAUGCUACAAUGCUUGCUACAAAGGGUAGCAAUCCCGCAAGGGGGAGCGAAUCCCAAAAAAGCAAGCUCAGUUCGGAUCGGGGUCUGCAACUCGACCCCGUGAAGUCGGAGUCGCUAGUAAUCGCAGAUCAGCAAUGCUGCGGUGAAUACGUUCCCGGGCCUUGCACACACCGCCCGU
Molecule: ribosomal RNA, 498 nt
Filed under: uncultured bacterium
Lineage: Bacteria
Description: partial 16S ribosomal RNA
Rfam family: Bacterial small subunit ribosomal RNA
Source: RNAcentral